CCCUUAGAUGUUCUGGGCCGCACGCGUGCUACACUGAACGGUUCAAUGGGUAAGGUAGUGCGAAAGCAUGACCUAAUCUCGAAAUCCGUUCGUGCUGGGGAUAGAAGCUUGCAAUUAUCCUUCUUGAACGAGGAAUACCUUGUAAGCGUGAGUCAUCAUCUCACGCUGAAUACGUCCCUGCCCUUUGUACACACCGCCCGUCGCUCCUACCGAUCGAGUGUUCCGGUGAGGCUUUGGGAGAAUGGCCUCAACAUGAGUUUAUCGUGUUUUGCCGUUUGAACUUAGUCAAACCUUAUCACUUAGAGGAAGGAGAAGUCGUAACA
Molecule: ribosomal RNA, 323 nt
Filed under: uncultured eukaryote
Lineage: Eukaryota
Description: partial 18S ribosomal RNA
Rfam family: Eukaryotic small subunit ribosomal RNA
Source: RNAcentral